GACGAACGCUGGCGGCGUGCUUAACACAUGCGAGUCGAACGGAAAGGCCCUGCUUUUGUGGGGUGCUCGAGUGGCGAAAGGGUGAGUAACACGUGAGUAACCUGCCCUUGACUUUGGGAUAACUUCAGGGAACAGGGGUUCUAACCGGAUAGGAUCUCCUGCUACAUGGUGGGUAUUGGUAAGUUUUGGCGGUUGGGGAUGGACUCGCGGCUUCUCAGUGUGUUGGUGGGGUAGUGUCUUACCAAGGCAUUGACGCGUAGCCGGACUGGGAGGGUGACAGGCCCAAUUGGGACUGGGAAGCGGCCCAGACGGCUACGGGAGGCAGCAGUGAGGAAUAUACCACGAUGGGCGGAAGCCUGAUGCAGCAGCGCCGCGUGGUAGAUGACGGCCUGCGGAGUGGAAACCGCUUGCGCCUGUGACGAAGCGUGAGUGACGGUAAUGGGUAAAGAAGCACCGGCUAACUACGUG
RNAcentral lists this ribosomal RNA (468 nucleotides) under uncultured bacterium. Its description in RNAcentral is "partial 16S ribosomal RNA". It matches the Rfam family "Bacterial small subunit ribosomal RNA", at positions 28 to 507 of the family's 1533-position model. The record is from RNAcentral.